RNAcentral lists this ribosomal RNA (253 nucleotides) under uncultured bacterium. RNAcentral describes it as "partial 16S ribosomal RNA". It matches the Rfam family "Bacterial small subunit ribosomal RNA", at positions 524 to 776 of the family's 1533-position model. The record is from RNAcentral.
UACAGAGGUCUCAAGCGUUGUUCGGAUUCAUUGGGCGUAAAGGGUGCGUAGGCGGCGCGGUAAGUCGGGUGUGAAAUCUUGGAGCUUAACUCCGAAACUGCAUUCGAUACUGCCGUGCUUGAGGACUGGAGAGGAGACUGGAAUUUACGGUGUAGCGGUGAAGUGCGUAGAUAUCGUAAGGAAGACCAGUGGCGAAGGCGGGUCUCUGGACAGUUCCUGACGCUGAGGCACGAAGGCCAGGGGAGCAAACGGG